Molecule: ribosomal RNA, 252 nt
Filed under: uncultured bacterium
Lineage: Bacteria
Description: partial 16S ribosomal RNA
Rfam family: Bacterial small subunit ribosomal RNA
Source: RNAcentral
UACAGAGGGGGCAAGCGUUAUUCGGAAUUAUUGGGCGUAAAGGGUGCGUAGGCGGGUCUUUAAGUCAGGGGUGAAAUCCUGGAGCUCAACUCCAGAACUGCCUUUGAUACUGAAGAUCUUGAGUUCGGGAGAGGUGAGUGGAACUGCGAGUGUAGAGGUGAAUUCGUAGAUAUUCGCAAGAACACCAGAGGCGAAGGCGGCUCACUGGCCCGAUACUGACGCUGAGGCACGAAAGCGUGGGGAGCAAACAGG